CCUACGGGGGGCUGCAGUGGGGAAUAUUGCACAAUGGGGGAAACCCUGAUGCAGCAACGCCGCGUGAGGGAAGAAGGCCUUCGGAUCGUAAAGCUCUGUUGUUAGGGAAGAACAAGUACGUGAGGAAAUGACCAUACCUUGCCAACAACUUACCAGCAACCGCCGGUGAACUACGUGCCAGCACCCGCGGCAGUACGAAGGGGGCAAGCGUUGUCCGGAAUUGUUGUGCGGAAAAGGCGCGUAGGCGGUCUUCUAAGUCAGGUGUGAAAACUUAGGGCUCAACUGCAAGCGGUCAUUUGAAACUGGGGGGCUUGAGUGCAGAAGAGGAAGGCGGAAUUCCAGGUGUAGCGGUGAAAUGCGUAGAGAUGGGGAGGAACACCAGUGGCGAAGGCGGCUUGCUGGUCUGUAACUGACGCUGAGGCGCGAAAGCGUGGGGAGCAAACAGGAUUAGAUACCCUAGUAGUC
RNAcentral lists this ribosomal RNA (465 nucleotides) under uncultured bacterium. RNAcentral's name for it is "bacterial SSU rRNA". It matches the Rfam family "Bacterial small subunit ribosomal RNA", at positions 338 to 795 of the family's 1533-position model. The record is from RNAcentral.